CCUACGGGUGGCAGCAGUGAGGAAUAUUGGUCAAUGGGCGGGAGCCUGAACCAGCCAAGUCGCGUGAGGGAAGACGGUCCUAUGGAUUGUAAACCUCUUUAGGCGGGGAGCAAUGCCGGGCACGCGUGCCCGGAGGGAGAGUACCCGCAGAAUAAGCAUCGGCUAACUCCGUGCCAGCCGCCGCGGUAAUACGGAGGAUGCGAGCGUUAUCCGGAUUUAUUGGGUUUAAAGGGUGCGUAGGCGGAUUUUUAAGUCAGCGGUAAAAUGUCCGGGCUCAACCCGGGCCGGCCGUUGAGACUGGGGAUCUUGAGUGAGCGAGAAGUAUGCGGAAUGCGUGGUGUAGCGGUGAAAUGCAUAGAUAUCACGCAGAACUCCGAUUGCGAAGGCAGCAUACCGGCGCCCGACUGACGCUGAGGCACGAAAGCGUGGGGAUCGAACAGGAUUAGAUACCCCAGUAGUC
Molecule: ribosomal RNA, 460 nt
Filed under: uncultured bacterium
Lineage: Bacteria
Description: partial 16S ribosomal RNA
Rfam family: Bacterial small subunit ribosomal RNA
Source: RNAcentral